GACGAACGCUGGCGGCGUGCUUAACACAUGCAAGUCGAACGGAAAGGCCCUGCUUUUGUGGGGUGCUCGAGUGGCGAACGGGUGAGUAACACGUGAGUAACCUGCCCUUGACUUUGGGAUAACUUCAGGAAACUGGGGCUAAUACCGGAUAGGAGCUCCUGCUGCAUGGUGGGGGUUGGAAAGUUUCGGCGGUUGGGGAUGGACUCGCGGCUUAUCAGCUUGUUGGUGGGGUAGUGGCUUACCAAGGCUUUGACGGGUAGCCGGCCUGAGAGGGUGACCGGCCACAUUGGGACUGAGAUACGGCCCAGACUCCUACGGGAGGCAGCAGUGGGGAACAUUGCACAAUGGGCGGAGGCCUGAUGCAGCAACGCCGCGUGCGGGAUGACGGCCUUCGGGUUGUAAACCGCUUUCGCCUGUGACGAAGCGUGAGUGACGGUAAUGGGUAAAGAAGCACCGGCUAACUACGUG
RNAcentral lists this ribosomal RNA (468 nucleotides) under uncultured bacterium. RNAcentral's name for it is "partial 16S ribosomal RNA". It matches the Rfam family "Bacterial small subunit ribosomal RNA", at positions 28 to 507 of the family's 1533-position model. The record is from RNAcentral.